Molecule: ribosomal RNA, 253 nt
Filed under: uncultured bacterium
Lineage: Bacteria
Description: partial 16S ribosomal RNA
Rfam family: Bacterial small subunit ribosomal RNA
Source: RNAcentral
UACAGAGGUCCCAAGCGUUGUUCGGAUUCACUGGGCGUAAAGGGUGCGUAGGUGGUCGGGUAAGUCUGCUGUGAAAUCCCGCAGCUCAACUGCGGAACUGCAUUGGAAACUAUCCGACUAGAGGAAUGGAGGGGAGACUGGAAUUCUCGGUGUAGCGGUGAAAUGCGCAGAUAUCAGGAGGAACACCGAUGGCGAAGGCAGGUCUCUGGGCAUUAACUGACGCUGAGGAGCGAAAGCAUGGGGAGCGAACAGG